GAACCGAUUAGAUCAUGCUGCAUAACCAAAAUUUGACUGCAGUUCGCAGCAUUUCUUCAAAAAAACUCAUCAACUUAUCGAAUUUAUUGUUUCCGGGACUUGCAAAUUAAGUGAAAGCCAACGAGAAUGUCCAGCGAACCACACAGUCUAGGCAACACAAUGGCGGUUCAUCGAAAAGUUGGAAACUAUGAUGUAGCAGCUAUCUGUUUUUCAGCGGCUUUCCCAGUUUUUGAACCUGUCCUAGUUUACUGCUGUGUGUACCCAAGAAUAUUUCCAGCUUUCUUGUAUGCCUGUGGCUGCGGAUUUCUCAUCUCAGCUAUCAGUGCGGUGCCUGCGAUGUUCCCAGGUGUUAGAAUUCGGUGCAUUGGGACGCUCAGUGUUCGAGAACCAACAAUAAACCAGAAUGGACAAGGGAACCAAUGACCAAAUCCAACUACGUCGUCUCUUCAGUCGCGAUACGACCUAUUUGAAAAUGCAUAUCAAUGCUUAUUGUGCAUCACCUGAGAUGUUCCGAUUUUCUGGCCACCAAAAUCAGACACCCUCAACAAUGCCGCUUUGAACCUAGUGUCUUCGGUGAUGGGCCAAGUUGGGUUGUGCUGCUGAGGACCUCUGGAGGACAAAUCUGUGC
Long non-coding RNA from Uranotaenia lowii, 628 nucleotides. RefSeq lists it as uncharacterized. The record is from RefSeq and is a predicted model, not a curated record. The transcript is spliced from 4 exons. Lineage: Eukaryota; Metazoa; Arthropoda; Insecta; Diptera; Culicidae.